GCGGAGGAAAAGAAACCAACAGGGAUUGCCCUAGUAACGGCGAGUGAAGCGGCAACAGCUCAAAUUUGAAAUCUGGCGCAAGCCCGAGUUGUAAUUUGUAGAGGAUGCUUCAGGGCAGCGGCCGGUCUAAGUUCCUUGGAACAGGACGUCAUAGAGGGUGAGAAUCCCGUAUGCGACCGGUUGGCACCCGUCACGUAGCUCCUUCGACGAGUCGAGUUGUUUGGGAAUGCAGCUCUAAAUGGGAGGUAAAUUUCUUCUAAAGCUAAAUACCGGCCAGAGACCGAUAGCGCACAAGUAGAGUGAUCGAAAGAUGAAAAGCACUUUGGAAAGAGAGUUAAAAAGCACGUGAAAUUGUUGAAAGGGAAGCGCAUGCAACCAGACUUGUCGGCGGUGUUCCGCCGGUCUUCUGACCGGUCUACUCGCCGCCGGCAGGCCAGCAUCAUCUGGGCGCGCCGGACAAAGGCGUGGGGAAUGUGGCUCCUCGGAGUGUUAUAGCCCCGCGCACAAUACGGCGCCGCUCGGGUGAGGUCCGCGCUUCGGCUAGGAUGCUGGCGUAAUGGUUGUUUGCGGCCCGUCUUGAAACACGGACCAAGGAGUCUAACAUCUAUGCGAGUGUUCGGGUGUCAAACCCCUACGCGUAAUGAAAGUGAACGGAGGUGGGAAGCGCAAGCUGCACCAUCGACCGAUCCUGAUGUCUUCGGAUGGAUUUGAGUAAGAGCAUAGCUGUUGGGACCCGAAAGAUGGUGAACUAUGCCUGAAUAGGGUGAAGCCAGAGGAAACUCUGGUGGAGGCUCGCAGCGGUUCUGACGUGCAAAUCGAUCGUCAAAUUUGGGUAUAGGGGCGAAAGACUAAUCGAACCAUCUAGUAGCUGGUUCCUGC
Molecule: ribosomal RNA, 879 nt
Filed under: Teratosphaeria majorizuluensis
Lineage: Eukaryota; Fungi; Ascomycota; Dothideomycetes; Mycosphaerellales; Teratosphaeriaceae
Description: eukaryotic LSU rRNA
Rfam family: Eukaryotic large subunit ribosomal RNA
Source: RNAcentral